This 322-nucleotide long non-coding RNA is filed under the name Taeniopygia guttata (zebra finch). Its description in RNAcentral is "lncRNA (ENSTGUG00000028705.1)". The record is from RNAcentral. Lineage: Eukaryota; Metazoa; Chordata; Aves; Passeriformes; Estrildidae.
GAAAACAGUGAUAUAUUUCCUCUCACUGCGGUGAAAGCUGUAGCAGAGCUUUACUGCUGGAAACUGGGAAAUGCGACCUGACUUUUCAGUGCUUCCCACAAUUCCCAUUGAAGUUGUUCUACUCAAAGUUCCCCUGAAGUGCUGAAGUACUGAAGUGCAAUCAGAGAUUGGAAAACGUUCUGUGAGAGCCUCCUGAGGACUGGACUGGAAUUUGCCUUCUUGUACUUUAGCUCAGAGAUCAAACACUUUUACAGAGAAGAAAAAGAGUGCUUUUGGUUUUCUCUUUUUCCUAAUGUACCAACUUAAAGGUGUCAUCCCUUGG